This 477-nucleotide ribosomal RNA is filed under the name uncultured bacterium. Its description in RNAcentral is "SSU rRNA". It matches the Rfam family "Bacterial small subunit ribosomal RNA", at positions 26 to 518 of the family's 1533-position model. The record is from RNAcentral.
AGGAUGAACGCUAGCGGCAGGCUUAAUACAUGCAAGUCGUGGGGCAGCAUAGGGUAGCAAUACUCUGAUGGCGACCGGCAAACGGGUGCGGAACACGUACGCAACCUUCCUUUAACUGGAGAAUAGCCCCUCGAAAGAGGGAUUAAUACUCCGUAAUAUCCCGAUGUGGCAUCACAAUGGGAUUAUAGCUCCGGCGGUUAGAGAUGGGCGUGCGCCUGAUUAGGUAGUUGGCGGGGUAAUGGCCCACCAAGCCUGCGAUCAGUAACUGGUGUGAGAGCACGACCAGUCACACGGGCACUGAGACACGGGCCCGACUCCUACGGGAGGCAGCAGUGAGGAAUUUUCGUCAAUGGGGGCAACCCUGAACGAGCAACGCCGCGUGCAGGAGAAGGUUUCGGAUCGUAAACUGCUUUUCUCGGGAAGAGAACGGACGGUACCCGAGGAAUCAGCCCCGGCUAACUACGUGCCAGCAGCCGC